AUUUAAGAAGCUACUGCAGCAAUGAGUUUUUAAUUCAUAGAUUGGCCCCGUGUCCUUAAUU
This 61-nucleotide transfer RNA is filed under the name Typosyllis antoni. RNAcentral's name for it is "tRNA-Lys". The record is from RNAcentral. Lineage: Eukaryota; Metazoa; Annelida; Polychaeta; Phyllodocida; Syllidae.